ACACUGGUGGUUCAGGGGUAGAAUUCUCACCUUCCAUGCGAGAGACCCAGGUUCAAGUCCCAGCCAACGCA
Molecule: transfer RNA, 71 nt
Filed under: Loxodonta africana (African savanna elephant)
Lineage: Eukaryota; Metazoa; Chordata; Mammalia; Proboscidea; Elephantidae
Rfam family: tRNA
About the family: Transfer RNA (tRNA) molecules are approximately 80 nucleotides in length. Their secondary structure includes four short double-helical elements and three loops (D, anti-codon, and T loops). Further hydrogen bonds mediate the characteristic L-shaped molecular structure. tRNAs have two regions of fundamental functional importance: the anti-codon, which is responsible for specific mRNA codon recognition, and the 3' end, to which the tRNAs corresponding amino acid is attached (by aminoacyl-tRNA synthetases). tRNAs cope with the degeneracy of the genetic code in two manners: having more than one tRNA (with a specific anti-codon) for a particular amino acid; and 'wobble' base-pairing, i.e. permitting non-standard base-pairing at the 3rd anti-codon position.
Source: Rfam by way of RNAcentral